Molecule: small RNA, 125 nt
Filed under: Marmota monax (woodchuck)
Lineage: Eukaryota; Metazoa; Chordata; Mammalia; Rodentia; Sciuridae
Source: RNAcentral
GCUGGGCAUGGUGGCACAUGCUUGUAAUUCCAGUAUCCUGGGAGGCUGAGGCAGGAGGAUCACAAGUUGGAAACCAAUUUCAGCAACAGUGAGGCGCUGAGCAACUCAGUGAGGCCCUGUCUCUA